UGUAGUUUUUUUUGCUGAGGCAGGCUAUCUUUAAUAAAACUUUCAGUUUUAUGGAUAGUAAGAGGUAUCGGCCUCUUUUUUGAGGCUUCGGCUAAUAGCGAUUUAUUCGCAUAUAGUUCAAUAUGGAAUACAGAUGAUGACUAUUUUCCAUAUGUAAGUAUUGACCAAAACACGUGCCAGCAGUCGCGGCAACACGGGACAUACUAGUGUUAUUCAUCUUUAAUAGGUUUAAAGGGUACCUAGACGGCAGAUUUAGCCCCCACUGAGCUGGGAUGGUACAUUUUUGCUAGAGUUUUAUGUGAGAGGGAUUUAGUACUAACAGAGUAGAGAUGAAAUUCUUUGAUACUGUAGGGCACUGAUAACGGCGAAGGCAGACCUUUAUGUAAAAACUGACGUUGAGGGACGAAGGCUUGGGUAACAAACAGGAUUAGAUACCCUAAUAGUCCAGGCAGAGACUGAUGAGUGCCAUAGAUUAGAAUAUGUUUGAUCUAUAAAUGAAAGUGAAAGCACUCCACCUUAAGAGUAAUGCGGCAACGCAGGAACUGAAAUCAUUAGACCGUUUCUGAUACCAGUAGUGAAGUAUGUUGUUUAAUUCGAUGAUCCACGAAAAAUCUUACCACAAUUUGAAUAUUAUAGCAACUAAAGGAAAGUCUUUUAAUUAUAUAUUAAUAUGAUGAAAGUGCUAAUAAUACAGGUGUUGCAUGGCUGUCUUCAGUUUAUGUCGUGAGAUGCGGGUUAGCUCCUACAAAAUAAACGUGAACCCUUACUUUAUUUUAAUCGGCAAUGUCGAUUACAUAGAGUAGCUGUCUGAUACGUUGGACAAAUAACAGGGACCAAGACAAGUCCUCAUGGCCCG
RNAcentral lists this ribosomal RNA (856 nucleotides) under Arthonia punctiformis. RNAcentral's name for it is "mitochondrial SSU rRNA". It matches the Rfam family "Bacterial small subunit ribosomal RNA", at positions 1 to 1202 of the family's 1533-position model. Lineage: Eukaryota; Fungi; Ascomycota; Arthoniomycetes; Arthoniales; Arthoniaceae. The record is from RNAcentral.